This 82-nucleotide small nucleolar RNA is filed under the name Panthera pardus (leopard). RNAcentral's name for it is "Small nucleolar RNA SNORA72 (ENSPPRG00000019747.1)". It matches the Rfam family "Small nucleolar RNA SNORA72". Rfam says of the family: U72 is a member of the H/ACA class of snoRNAs. The snoRNA gene is located in intron 4 of the ribosomal L30 protein gene in human, mouse and chicken. The record is from RNAcentral. Lineage: Eukaryota; Metazoa; Chordata; Mammalia; Carnivora; Felidae.
AUUAAAAAAAAAAAAAAGACCAUGAAUGUGUCCCCAGACCUACUUCUUUCCCUAGUCUGAUUUUUUAAUGCUGGUGAUAAAC